This 253-nucleotide ribosomal RNA is filed under the name uncultured bacterium. Its description in RNAcentral is "partial 16S ribosomal RNA". It matches the Rfam family "Archaeal small subunit ribosomal RNA", at positions 474 to 727 of the family's 1478-position model. The record is from RNAcentral.
UACCAGCACCCCGAGUGGUCGGGACGUUUAUUGGGCCUAAAGCAUCCGUAGCCGGUUCUGCAAGUCUUCCGUUAAAUCCACCUGCUUAACAGAUGGGCCGCGGAAGAUACUAUAGAGCUAGGAGGCGGGAGAGGCAAGCGGUACUCGAUGGGUAGGGGUAAAAUCCGUUGAUCCAUUGAAGACCACCAGUGGCGAAGGCGGCUUGCUAGAACGCGCUCGACGGUGAGGGAUGAAAGCUGGGGGAGCAAACCGG